Molecule: ribosomal RNA, 468 nt
Filed under: uncultured bacterium
Lineage: Bacteria
Description: partial 16S ribosomal RNA
Rfam family: Bacterial small subunit ribosomal RNA
Source: RNAcentral
GACGAACGCUGGCGGCGUGCUUAACACAUGCAAGUCGAACGGAAAGGCCCUGCUUUUGUGGGGUGCUCGAGUGGCGAACGGGUGAGUAACACGUGAGUAACCUGCCCUUGACUUUGGGAUAACUUCAGGAAACUGGGGCUAAUACCGGAUAGGAGCUCCUGCUGCAUGGUGGGGGUUGGAAAGUUUCGGCGGUUGGGGAUGGACUCGCGGCUUAUCAGCUUGUUGGUGGGGUAGUGGCUUACCAAGGCUUUGACGGGUAGCCGGCCUGAGAGGGUGACCGGCGACAUUGGGACUGAGAGACGGCCCAGAGUCCUAUGGGAGGCAGCAGUGGGGAAUAUUGCACAAUGGGCGGAAGCGUGAUGCAGCAACGCCGCGUGUGGGAUGACGGCCUUCGGGUUGUGAACCGCUUUCGCCUGUGACGAAGCGUGAGUGACGGUAAUGGGUAAAGAAGCACCGGCUAACUACGUG